GUGUCAGCAGCCGCGGUAAUACGUAGGGGGCGAGCGUUAAUCGGAAUUACUGGGCGUAAAGCGUGCGUAGGCGGCUGAUUAAGUCGGAUGUGGAAGCCCCGGGCUUAACCUGGGAAUUGCAUUCGAUACUGGUCAGCUAGAGUCUGGUAGAGGUAAGUGGAAUUCCGGGUGUAGCGGUGAAAUGCGUAGAUAUCCGGAGGAACACCAGUGGCGAAGGCGGCUUACUGGACCAAGACUGACGCUGAGGUACGAAAGCGUGGGGAGCAAACAGGAUUAGAUACCCUGGUAGUCCACGCCCUAAACGAUGUCUACUAGCCGUUGCGGGUAUCGACCCCUGCAGUGGCGCAGCUAACGCGAUAAGUAGACCGCCUGGGGAGUACGGCCGCAAGGUUAAAACUUAAAGGAAUUGACGGGG
This 415-nucleotide ribosomal RNA is filed under the name uncultured prokaryote. RNAcentral describes it as "bacterial SSU rRNA". It matches the Rfam family "Bacterial small subunit ribosomal RNA", at positions 505 to 918 of the family's 1533-position model. The record is from RNAcentral.